UGGGGAAUAUUGGACAAUGGGCGAAAGCCUGAUCCAGCCAUGCCGCGUGUGUGAAGAAGGUCUUCGGAUUGUAAAGCACUUUAAGUUGGGAGGAAGGGCAGUAAGUUAAUACCUUGCUGUUUUGACGUUACCGACAGAAUAAGCACCGGCUAACUCUGUGCCAGCAGCCGCGGUAAUACAGAGGGUGCAAGCGUUAAUCGGAAUUACUGGGCGUAAAGCGCGCGUAGGUGGUUUGUUAAGUUGGAUGUGAAAUCCCCGGGCUCAACCUGGGAACUGCAUUCAAAACUGACUGACUAGAGUAUGGUAGAGGGUGGUGGAAUUUCCUGUGUAGCGGUGAAAUGCGUAGAUAUAGGAAGGAACACCAGUGGCGAAGGCGACCACCUGGACUGAUACUGACACUGAGGUGCGAAAGCGUGGGGAGCAAACAGGAUUAGAUACCCUUGUAGUCCCUGAGCGGGCUGGCAAGGCGCAU
RNAcentral lists this ribosomal RNA (472 nucleotides) under uncultured bacterium. RNAcentral's name for it is "bacterial SSU rRNA". It matches the Rfam family "Bacterial small subunit ribosomal RNA", at positions 355 to 825 of the family's 1533-position model. The record is from RNAcentral.